GGUAAGGAACUUAGCAAACGCACCCAAUCAACAAGGAAGUCAUAAGCGACAAAUUGUUGCGGGUUGUGAGGAAAGUCCGCCCACUUAGGCGCUUGUCGUCUACCGAUAUUCGGGUUUGCCCAUAAGGGUUCCUGAAAGGGAAGGCAACUUUAUAGAAACGACACGGCCAAUAGAAUUGGAAUGAUACAAAGAAGGCACAAGAAAUUGUUGCUGAGUUAACUUGCUGACGUCUCUAUUGGAUACGAUGAAACGAAAGACCUGAACAGUGCAAGCAGAAGGUCGGAUUAACGAAAUUCGCUUAACCGAAAUAUGCGCUUAGUAGAAUGUUAAGAAAAAGCAUCGCGGCAACGCACGUCACAUGACUUAGGUCUUACGACAACACGUUUACGUUUGGCUUUUACAAAAGGUGGCUUAUUCCUUGCC
This 423-nucleotide RNase P RNA is filed under the name Candidatus Woesearchaeota archaeon. RNAcentral's name for it is "RNase P RNA component". It matches the Rfam family "Archaeal RNase P". Rfam says of the family: Ribonuclease P (RNase P) is a ubiquitous endoribonuclease, found in archaea, bacteria and eukarya as well as chloroplasts and mitochondria. Its best characterised activity is the generation of mature 5'-ends of tRNAs by cleaving the 5'-leader elements of precursor-tRNAs. The record is from RNAcentral. Lineage: Archaea; Nanobdellati; Candidatus Woesearchaeota.